This 552-nucleotide ribosomal RNA is filed under the name uncultured bacterium. RNAcentral's name for it is "bacterial SSU rRNA". It matches the Rfam family "Bacterial small subunit ribosomal RNA", at positions 131 to 702 of the family's 1533-position model. The record is from RNAcentral.
CUGUACACACGGAUAACAUACCGAAAGGUAUACUAAUACGGGAUAACAUACGAAAGUCGCAUGGCUUUUGUAUCAAAGCUCCGGCGGUACAGGAUGGACCCGCGUCUGAUUAGCUAGUUGGUAAGGUAAUGGCUUACCAAGGCAACGAUCAGUAGCCGACCUGAGAGGGUGAUCGGCCACACUGGAACUGAGACACGGUCCAGACUCCUACGGGAGGCAGCAGUGGGGAAUAUUGCACAAUGGGCGAAAGCCUGAUGCAGCAACGCCGCGUGAGCGAUGAAGGCCUUCGGGUCGUAAAGCUCUGUCCUCAAGGAAGAUAAUGACGGUACUUGAGGAGGAAGCCCCGGCUAACUACGUGCCAGCAGCCGCGGUAAUACGUAGGGGGCUAGCGUUAUCCGGAAUUACUGGGCGUAAAGGGUGCGUAGGUGGUUUUUUAAGUCANAAGUGAAAGGCUACGGCUCAACCGUAGUAAGCUUUUGAAACUAGAGAACUUGAGUGCAGGAGAGGAGAGUAGAAUUCCUAGUGUAGCGGUGAAAUGCGUAGAUACUAGGA